CCUGGGCUCACAAGCACCCCCCCUCCACACACACACACCCCACCGCCCACCGUCUGCCUCAAUGACUCGGCAGGGGCUGGGGCCGGAUGCUGAGCGGUGUAAGUGUUGCUUCCCAAACUCUGAGGUCCUGGGGCUCACUGAAGGAUGUCCCCCUCCGACCAGGAGGAGGUGCUCUGCCCGGGUUCGGUAAGAUGACGUUUUCUCGUGGAAAACCAAAGGUCCUUCUAGUGGCAGCGGUGGCCAGUGGCUGGGCAGGCCCAGCUGAGUCAGUGUUUGCUGGCUGGUUGCGAGAGGAAUGAUGAACAGGUCCGCGUGGAUGGAGAGGUCCGACACAAAACUAUGCUAAUUCUUCUUAAGCUCUGCCUGCUGCCUUUUAUAUAUCAACCUGAAAUGUAAUUAUCUUUAUGGCUGGCAGAGUAAAUCACCAGUAUGUGUCAAAGAGAUUUGCUCCUGUGUUUUAUUACAUAAUAUAUUAGCUCUACAGUUUUAAGAUGUCAUUACUUGGCUAAUCACCUGAAACAUUUUCAUGAGCAAACAGUGGCGCUGGCGGGAGCUGGGGCCAGAGACCUAUGGCUAAAUCCUUCUGGGAAAUGCCGAGAGCCCUCGGGAGGUCAUUUUGUCCAACCCUCUGCGUUUAGGCUUAUUGAGGUCUAGGCAGGCAGGGGUUCUGCACAAUCUGAGGGACUCCAAGAGGAAAGAGUUGGAGAGCAACAAAUGUUUGAUAGAAGAUAUCCAGAUGACCCAACGAUUCCACUCUGAGGUUCAUAUCUAAAAGAAAUGAGUGCUUUGGCUUAUGUCCACCAAAGGACAUGGGCAAGACUAUUCAGAGUGGCUUUAUUCCUAAUAGCUGAAAACUAGAAACAGCCUAAAUAUCAUUGUAGGAAAUGAACCACCUUUCCUCUACCCUUUCAGUUCUGUACCUGAGGUCUGCAAAUUAAACUAACAAAAGGCAGAAUAGCAGAAGAAGGCAUACAAAUGUUAUUGAUGUCAAUAUUUUUACAGGCAUGGAGCUUCACAGAAAAGAAGUGAAAACCCAAAGAGAUGGUUAAGUCCAGGGGCUUAUAUACCAUUUUUAACAAAGGGCAACACAUUGGAAGAAGUGACCAAAGGAACAGGGGAGUUUGAGCUUCUGGAGUGGUAAAUUGUUGGAAGGUGACUAGGAAAUGCAUUAUUUUGUCGUUGCAUCGAAAAGCCAUAGUAUGGCUUCAAACUCUUUCUUCUCUGGCUGUGAGUCUGGGGGACAAAGAUAGUGUGGUACGACAGAAGGCGCACGGGCUCUGCAAUGAGACCCACCUGGCUUUGAAUCCUGGCUCCACCACUUGUUCAUUCAGUCAUCUUGGACAGAUCACUUAAACUCAAUUAAGCCUCAAUCACUUAAGCCUCAGUUUCUACACCUGCAAGCUGAAAAUAAUAAUACCUCCUUUGCCUGCUUUUGCGGGAAGUAACGAAAAAACAUGAGCAAAUUGACUUGGUGACUAGCGUGUUCCUUCUUGCACCAUCCAUGCCAUCUUUCAGUAAGCACCUACUACACUCCUGCACAGUCCCAGGCACCGGGCUGGGAGCUGGAACACAGCAUUGCCACGAUCUAUAGAACACGAGCUGUGUUUUUGCCCGCUCAGCAUCUGAUCGGCCGGCACUGGGAUUUCCCUUUUGCAAACCACCCCUCCUCCACCUGCUGUUCACGUGGUUCCACGUUGGCUAACGCUGCACCCCAUCCCUCACCAACCCCCCAACACCAUUCAGGAUAUUCAUCUCCCUGACCACAGAGAUUGUUUCCGGGAUGGGCUCAUGGUCCAGACUAGCUUCAUGAGAGUCAGCCCUGAGACUUUUGCUGGAGCUCUUGAGAAAAAAAAGUGUUGCUUUUCCACUGAGGAUGAUCAGCUAGUCAAAUGGAGCCCUGGACCUGCUUAGGGGGUGUCUUCACCACCUCGCUGGGAGAUCGUGCCCCGAGAAUAAAGACGACAUAGACAGCUGAGAGAUGAAGAGGGAAAGAUUCCUAAUAGCCUCAUUUAAGUACCCAGAUCCAGCCACACCAGGGCUGAGUUGGUUUUCUGAUACUUGCAAAUAACAUAAUCCUGAUUAACAUACUGUUCUUAAAAUGAGUAACAUUUGAGGAGUUUUUUCUGUGCACCAGGCAUUGUGCCAAAUGAUUUACAGGCACCAUCUUAUUUAAUCCUCACAAUAAUCUUAUGAGGUGGGUGUCGUGGGUUGAGUAUGUGUCCCUUCCCAAAAUAUAUGUCAACCCAGAACCUCAUAAUGUGACCUUAUUUGGAACUAGGGUUUUUCAGAUGUAAUGAGUUAAGAUGAGGUCAUAGUGGAUGAGGGCGAGCCUUAAGUCCAACAGCUUGAUGUCUUUGUUAAAAAAGGAGAAGACAUACAGAGAGAGAGAGAGAAGAAUGUCAUAUUAAGGCAGAGGCAGAGAUUGGAAUAAUGCACCUACAAGCCAAGUGACACCAAGGGUUGCUGGGCGCCACCAGAACUAGGAAGAGGCCAGGGAGGAAGUCUUUCCUAGAGCCUUCAGAGAGAGCACAGUCUUGCCAGCACCUUGAUUGCAGACUGCCGGUCUCCAGAGCUGUGGAGAGAAUACACUUCUGUAAUUUGUUACAGCAGUCCUGAGAAGCAAAUACAGGAGAUAGUGAUCAGUAUUCUUGUUGAAGUGAGAAAAUU
Zalophus californianus (California sea lion) is the source of this 2667-nucleotide long non-coding RNA. The record is from Ensembl. NCBI's taxonomy places the organism in Eukaryota, Metazoa, Chordata, Mammalia, Carnivora, Otariidae.